Melanotaenia boesemani (Boeseman's rainbowfish) is the source of this 210-nucleotide long non-coding RNA. RefSeq lists it as uncharacterized. The record is from RefSeq and is a predicted model, not a curated record. NCBI's taxonomy places the organism in Eukaryota, Metazoa, Chordata, Actinopteri, Atheriniformes, Melanotaeniidae. The transcript is spliced from 3 exons.
GCGAAAUCAUUUCUGUUUGGUCAUGUUCAUUUUCUUUGAGCAUACCUUUGCUGGGUUCAGUUUAUGUCAGUUAAGGACACAGAAAGGGUUAAACUAGUUAAAUUAAAAUUCAGUGACAUUAAAUUCUGAUACAAGUCAGUUGAAAUAAUUACAUUGCUAAGCGUCCAUUCUCUUGCCUUCUCUUAAAACUUAAACCACAACAUAUACAGU